UCUGCGUAAACAAGCGGAGGGCAUUUUUAAUAACCCGUCGCAAAGCUGGGCUGCCGGGACCCGGGGCGGGGGGCUGGGGCACAGCCGAAAGCACCCCCCGGGAGUCGUUCACGGCCGCCGCCGGCGCUGACCACGGCCUUGGCGGAGGAGGUCCGGGUUCGGCCCCAGAGAGGAUCCCUCAUCUGCGGUGAACUGCAAUGCCAGGGGCGACAGCGACAUCAAUUUUCUUCUGCUCCUUCAACCCCUCCCUCAACCGAGGACUUGAAGACUGAGGAUAUCUCAGUUUUAUAUCCUCCUGCAAAAUGAGACUGCUGGCAAGGAUCCCUAGCAGGUUUUUUUUCGAAGAACAGCCACAACAGAAUGUCACAAGACAAACUCAGUGAAAGCUACCCAAGAAUAAAACCUGGCUCACUGAUACUGAGUGUAUUUGAAACUCCCCUCCUGCGCACAGUCAUCUGAGGUGUUUGGAUUUGCAGCUUUGCGCUACCACACCUGUGUUAGUUACCUGGCGAGUGCAUCUUUUACAUUUCACGCGUUGUCUGUCUCUCAAUACACACACAGAUGCAUGCACGUAUAUUCACACUGCAGUGGGCAAAAAUGAUCAAACAGAACUGAUACAUUGUGCAAUGAAACACAGUAAAAAUGUUGAGGAAAAGGCUAUGUAGAAAAGACUUUUAGACAACUGUGUUCAUCUACACGUGUGUAAGUGAAAACAGGCAACUUUGUCUCAACACUAAAAGAACUUGUUGAUUAAAAAGAAGAUAACCAAUAUGCAAAAAA
Aquila chrysaetos chrysaetos is the source of this 780-nucleotide long non-coding RNA. RefSeq lists it as uncharacterized. The transcript is spliced from 3 exons. Lineage: Eukaryota; Metazoa; Chordata; Aves; Accipitriformes; Accipitridae. The record is from RefSeq and is a predicted model, not a curated record.